ACUCCUACGGGAGGCAGCAGUGGGGAAUCUUGGACAAUGGGCGCAAGCCUGAUCCAGCCAUGCCGCGUGAGUGAUGAAGGCCCUAGGGUCGUAAAAGCUCUUUCGCCUGUGAUGAUAAUGACAGUAGCAGGUAAAGAAACCCCGGGCUAACUCCGUGCCAGCAGCCGCGGUAAUACGGAGGGGGUUAGCGUUGUUCGGAAUUACUGGGCGUAAAGCGCGCGUAGGCGGACUAUUAAGUCAGAGGUGAAAUCCCGGGGCUCAACCCCGGAACUGCCUUUGAUACUGGUAGUCUAGAGUUCGAGAGAGGUGAGUGGAAUUCCGAGUGUAGAGGUGAAAUUCGUAGAUAUUCGGAGGAACACCAGUGGCGAAGGCGGCUCACUGGCUCGAUACUGACGCUGAGGUGCGAAAGUGUGGGGGGCAAACA
Molecule: ribosomal RNA, 424 nt
Filed under: uncultured bacterium
Lineage: Bacteria
Description: bacterial SSU rRNA
Rfam family: Bacterial small subunit ribosomal RNA
Source: RNAcentral